CCGUGCUAGACGGGGAGCUAGCGGUGCCCUGCACUCGCAAUCCGCUACAGCGGGGUUGAAUUCCUCUCCUAGGCCUGGCCAUUGGGCCCCUAUCCUUGGAUCGGGAUAUUGAUAGCCGGGUCCCACGCGGCGUAGACCUGUGAACCCCGCCAGGUCCGGAAGGAAGCAACGGUAAGCAGGACCCUGCGGGUGCCGUGGGAGCGCCUGGCUGGAGUCGCCAUCCGGGACAAGCCUACUGGCCAUUGUCGAAGAGGGGUGCGCGG
This 263-nucleotide signal recognition particle RNA is filed under the name SAR202 cluster bacterium Io17-Chloro-G9. Its description in RNAcentral is "signal recognition particle sRNA large type". It matches the Rfam family "Bacterial large signal recognition particle RNA". From Rfam's summary of the family: The signal recognition particle (SRP) is a universally conserved ribonucleoprotein involved in the co-translational targeting of proteins to membranes. Archaeal SRP consists of a 7S RNA and homologues of the eukaryotic SRP19 and SRP54 proteins. The record is from RNAcentral. Lineage: Bacteria; Bacillati; Chloroflexota; Dehalococcoidia.